RNAcentral lists this ribosomal RNA (264 nucleotides) under uncultured archaeon. RNAcentral's name for it is "partial 16S ribosomal RNA". It matches the Rfam family "Archaeal small subunit ribosomal RNA", at positions 748 to 1009 of the family's 1478-position model. The record is from RNAcentral.
UAGCCGUAAACGAUACUCGCUAGGUGUCGGCCACGGUGCGACCGUUGUCGGUGCCGUAGGGAAGCCGUGAAGCGAGCCACCUGGGAAGUACGGCCGCAAGGCUGAAACUUAAAGGAAUUGGCGGGGGAGGCACCACAACGGGUGGAGCUUGCGGUUUAAUUUGGAUUCAACGCCGGAAAUCUUACCGGGACCGGACAGCAACAUGAAGGCCAGGCUGAAGACUUUGCCGGAUUAGCUGAGAGGAGGUGCAUGGCGUAGUCGUGU